RNAcentral lists this small RNA (132 nucleotides) under Kosakonia cowanii. RNAcentral describes it as "RtT sRNA". It matches the Rfam family "RtT RNA". From Rfam's summary of the family: This family represents a bacterial cis-regulatory element known as RtT RNA. The exact function of RtT is unknown although it is thought that it may be involved in changing the cellular response in relation to amino acid starvation. The record is from RNAcentral. Lineage: Bacteria; Pseudomonadati; Pseudomonadota; Gammaproteobacteria; Enterobacterales; Enterobacteriaceae.
UUUGCAUCUGAAGAAAAGAGGAUGAGAACCUCCGGGGGUGGAGGUUCGACUCGAGCGCAGCGAGAGAACGUUGCGCAGCAACGGCCCGCAGGGCGAGCCACGCAGUGGCGAGUCAUCCUCUAUCACCGACCA